CUGCAAUUAGCGGAAUGCCAGCCAGCAGGUGGAGACGCAUGAAAGCAAUCCCAGAGCACGGACGGGCUGCCUCGACACCGCAUUCCCAUAGCCCCGGCCAAGCCAGCCAGAAAAUAUCGGUAUUGGCUCCACGGAAAAGUGCAGAACUAAAAAUCUUGGAUUGCUGACAGGACAUGUGACGGAGCAGCCCCUGCUGAGGAGCCGUCCAGCACCUUUCAUGUCUCAGUUUGCAGCACUGAGGUGACAUCAAUGGCUUCUGGGCUGUCACCAGGACAGAAAAACCAGAGGCCAUGUGAGCAAGCUUGUCACACACCCUGCCUGAUGAUAAGGAGGGAAUGUUGGAGCAUCAGCAGGACUGUGGCUGCAGGGCUGGUGCCAAGGGCAGGCCCCUCAAACCCAGCACGGUUCCACCGUGACGUUCCAGCAGGAUCUCCAGGGCUUCUCCUGGGAAGGACGUGGGGCUCUUGGAUGUGA
Molecule: long non-coding RNA, 474 nt
Filed under: Serinus canaria (Common canary)
Lineage: Eukaryota; Metazoa; Chordata; Aves; Passeriformes; Fringillidae
Description: lncRNA (ENSSCAG00000008235.1)
Source: RNAcentral